This 253-nucleotide ribosomal RNA is filed under the name uncultured bacterium. RNAcentral's name for it is "partial 16S ribosomal RNA". It matches the Rfam family "Bacterial small subunit ribosomal RNA", at positions 524 to 776 of the family's 1533-position model. The record is from RNAcentral.
UACAGAGGUCUCAAGCGUUGUUCGGAUUCAUUGGGCGUAAAGGGUGCGUAGGCGGCGCGGUAAGUCGGGUGUGAAAUCUCGGAGCUUAACUCCGAAACUGCAUUCGAUACUGCCGUGCUUGAGGACUGGAGAGGAGACUGGAAUUUACGGUGUAGCGGUGAAAUGCGUAGAUAUCGUAAGGAAGACCAGUGGCGAAGGCGGGUCUCUGGACAGUUCCUGACGCUGAGAAGCGAAAGCAUGGGGAGCGAACAGG